This 554-nucleotide ribosomal RNA is filed under the name Cytobacillus firmus. RNAcentral describes it as "bacterial SSU rRNA". It matches the Rfam family "Bacterial small subunit ribosomal RNA", at positions 926 to 1477 of the family's 1533-position model. Lineage: Bacteria; Bacillati; Bacillota; Bacilli; Caryophanales; Bacillaceae. The record is from RNAcentral.
CAAGCGGUGGAGCAUGUGGUUUAUUUCGAAGCAACGCGAAGAACCUUACCAGGUCUUGACAUCCCCUGACAACCCUAGAGAUAGGGCGUUCCCCUUCGGGGGACAGGGUGACAGGUGGUGCAUGGUUGUCGUCAGCUCGUGUCGUGAGAUGUUGGGUUAAGUCCCGCAACGAGCGCAACCCUUGAUCUUAGUUGCCAGCAUUCAGUUGGGCACUCUAAGGUGACUGCCGGUGACAAACCGGAGGAAGGUGGGGAUGACGUCAAAUCAUCAUGCCCCUUAUGACCUGGGCUACACACGUGCUACAAUGGAUGGUACAAAGGGCUGCAAAACCGCGAGGUUAAGCGAAUCCCAUAAAACCAUUCUCAGUUCGGAUUGCAGGCUGCAACUCGCCUGCAUGAAGCCGGAAUCGCUAGUAAUCGCGGAUCAGCAUGCCGCGGUGAAUACGUUCCCGGGCCUUGUACACACCGCCCGUCACACCACGAGAGUUUGUAACACCGCGAAGUCGGUGGGGUAACCUUUUGGAGCCUACCCGCCUUUUUGGUUGGACCCAGGCG